GUGGGGAAUUUUGCGCAAUGGGGGAAACCCUGACGCAGCAACGCCGCGUGGAGGAUGAAGGUCUUCGGAUUGUAAACUCCUGUCAGUGGGGAAAAAGGGGAACGUGCUCAUACCACGUUUCAUUGAUUGUACCCGCAGAGGAAGCCCCGGCUAACUCUGUGCCAGCAGCCGCGGUAAUACAGAGGGGGCAAGCGUUAUUCGGAAUUAUUGGGCGUAAAGGGCGCGUAGGCGGCCGCACAAGUGGGAGGUGAAAUCCCUCGGCUUAACCGAGGAGCUGCCUCCCAAACUGAGUGGCUUGAGUCCGGGAGAGGUGAGUGGAAUUCCCAGUGUAGCGGUGAAAUGCGUAGAUAUUGGGAGGAACACCAGUGGCGAAGGCGGCUCACUGGACCGGAACUGACGCUGAGGCGCGAAAGCGUGGGGAGCAAACGGGAUUAGAUACCCGAGUAGUCC
Molecule: ribosomal RNA, 450 nt
Filed under: uncultured bacterium
Lineage: Bacteria
Description: bacterial SSU rRNA
Rfam family: Bacterial small subunit ribosomal RNA
Source: RNAcentral